Molecule: ribosomal RNA, 255 nt
Filed under: Vibrio parahaemolyticus
Lineage: Bacteria; Pseudomonadati; Pseudomonadota; Gammaproteobacteria; Vibrionales; Vibrionaceae
Description: partial 16S ribosomal RNA
Rfam family: Bacterial small subunit ribosomal RNA
Source: RNAcentral
GCGUUAAUCGGAAUUACUGGGCGUAAAGCGCAUGCAGGUGGUUUGUUAAGUCAGAUGUGAAAGCCCGGGGCUCAACCUCGGAAUUGCAUUUGAAACUGGCAGACUAGAGUACUGUAGAGGGGGGGUAUAAUUUCAGGUGUAGCGGUGAAAUGCGUAGAGAUCUGAAGGAAUACCGGUGGCGAAGGCGGCCCCCUGGACAGAUACUGACACUCAGAUGCGAAAGCGUGGGGAGCAAACAGGAUUAGAUACCCUGGU